CCAGCAAAAAAUGCGGGCACACUCCUACCGCUCAGAAGUCCUUUUCUUCCUGGAAAAUGGUCUUUUCUCCCACUCUCACGCCCAAGCCCUGAACUGGGUCCUUGUCAUCUCCCACAACCCGGAUGUCAUUUACUGGCAGAGAGCGGUCGAGAAAGACCCAGAUUAGACUGCUGUUCGGAGCCCCACCGAUAGUCUAGCUUUCUGAGAAACUCUAUGCUGAAUUUGUGGUUUCAAGACUUUAAACGCCUCUUAAGGAAUCCUGCCCAUCCUAUGCUCCCCUCUUCUUCCACCUGCCUUCUAGAAGCCAAGUCUCUGGUCUGCUGUUUUGAUCCAAGCUCUUGUACACCAGAUACUCCAUCACUGUCUUGGAACAGAGGAGUCAGAUGAAGAGCUUGAUAUAAACCCUGCAAAGGAAGCAGUCGCUGAGCCAGAAAUAGGCAGCCAGUACCUGCGUUCAUCCCGAGAUCAUCCCGUCACUCCGGAUUUCCAUACAAGAAGCCUUCUGGGAAACUGUAAAGAAAGAAAUGCCUGAGGCUGCGUACCUACCAAGGAUUUCAGGUACCCAUGGAUUGAAAGGUGGUGCAGUGAUUAAAUAGGAUGCUGAAUUCUUCUCUGUAUGACAGUAAGUGUAGAAGGCUCUGGGAAGAUAUAGGCGUGACCAUCACUCCUGUCUCCUAGUUCCUUUUGUACCAACAGAGAUGUACCACAGGUACAGAAUGAGGUACUUAGUAUUUUUGUGGGGACUUUUGCCUGAACGGAAUGGGGGUUGUCAUGCC
Molecule: long non-coding RNA, 776 nt
Filed under: Camelus dromedarius (Arabian camel)
Lineage: Eukaryota; Metazoa; Chordata; Mammalia; Artiodactyla; Camelidae
Description: lncRNA (ENSCDRG00005007617.1)
Source: RNAcentral